RNAcentral lists this ribosomal RNA (497 nucleotides) under uncultured bacterium. Its description in RNAcentral is "partial 16S ribosomal RNA". It matches the Rfam family "Bacterial small subunit ribosomal RNA", at positions 28 to 507 of the family's 1533-position model. The record is from RNAcentral.
GAUGAACGCUGGCGGCGUGCCUAAUACAUGCAAGUCGAGCGAACGGACGAGAAGCUUGCUUCUCUGAUGUUAGCGGCGGACGGGUGAGUAACACGUGGAUAACCUACCUAUAAGACUGGGAUAACUUCGGGAAACCGGAGCUAAUACCGGAUAAUAUUUUGAACCGCAUGGUUCAAAAGUGAAAGACGGUCUUGCUGUCACUUAUAGAUGGAUCCGCGCUGCAUUAGCUAGUUGGUAAGGUAACGGCUUACCAAGGCAACGAUGCAUAGCCGACCUGAGAGGGUGAUCGGCUACCCUAGAACUGAGCCACCGUCCAGACCCCGACGGGAGGCACCAGUCGGGAAUCUGCCGCCAUGGGCGAAAGCCUGACGGAGCAACACCGCUUGAAUGAUGAAGGUCUACGGAUCGUAAAACUCUGUUAUUAGGGAAGAACAUAUGUGUAAGUAACUGUGCACAUCUUGACGGUACCUAAUCAGAGAGCCACGGCUAACUACGUG